This 465-nucleotide ribosomal RNA is filed under the name uncultured bacterium. RNAcentral describes it as "partial 16S ribosomal RNA". It matches the Rfam family "Bacterial small subunit ribosomal RNA", at positions 28 to 507 of the family's 1533-position model. The record is from RNAcentral.
GACGAACGCUGGCGGCGUGCUUAACACAUGCAAGUCGAACGGAAAGGCCCUGCUUGCAGGGUACUCGAGUGGCGAACGGGUGAGUAACACGUGGGUGAUCUGCCCUGCACUUCGGGAUAAGCCUGGGAAACUGGGUCUAAUACCGGAUAGGAGCCAGUUUUAGUGUGAUGGUUGGAAAGUUUUUUCGGUGUAGGAUGAGCUCGCGGCCUAUCAGCUUGUUGGUGGGGUAAUGGCCUACCAAGGCGGCGACGGGUAGCCGGCCUGGGAGGGUGGACGGCCACAUUGGGACUGAGAUACGGCCCAGACUCCUACGGGAGGCAGCAGUGGGGAAUAUUGCACAAUGGGCGCAAGCCUGAUGCAGCGACGCCGCGGGGGGGAUGACGGCCUUCGGGUUGUAAACUCCUUUCGCUAGGGACGAAGCUUUUUGUGACGGUACCUAGAUAAGAAGCACCGGCUAACUACGUG